RNAcentral lists this non-coding RNA (95 nucleotides) under Desulfotalea psychrophila. RNAcentral's name for it is "TPP sequence". It matches the Rfam family "TPP riboswitch aptamer (THI element)". Rfam says of the family: Vitamin B(1) in its active form thiamin pyrophosphate (TPP) is an essential coenzyme that is synthesised by coupling of pyrimidine and thiazole moieties in bacteria. Lineage: Bacteria; Pseudomonadati; Thermodesulfobacteriota; Desulfobulbia; Desulfobulbales; Desulfocapsaceae. RNAcentral also lists the same sequence under 1 other name. The record is from RNAcentral.
UUUUUUUUGCAGGGGUGGCUUUAGGGCCUGAGAAGAUACCCAUUGAACCUGACCUGGCUAAAACCAGGGUAGGGAAUUGCAGAAAUGUCCUCAUU